Molecule: ribosomal RNA, 274 nt
Filed under: uncultured bacterium
Lineage: Bacteria
Description: partial 16S ribosomal RNA
Rfam family: Bacterial small subunit ribosomal RNA
Source: RNAcentral
GCGAGCGUUAAUCGGAAUUACUGGGCGUAAAGACGCAUGCAGGCGGCCUGUUAAGUUCAGAUGUGAAAGACCCGGGGCGUUAACCUUCCGGAAUUAGCAUUUGUAAACUAGGCAGGCUAGAGUCUUGUAGAGGGGGGUAGGGAAUUUCUAGGUGUAGCGGUGAAAUAGCGUAGAGAUCUGAAGGAAUACCAGUGGCGAAGGCGGCCCCCUCGGACAAAGACUGACGCUCAGAUGCGAAAGCGUGGGGAGCAAACAGGAUUAGAUACCCUGGUAG